RNAcentral lists this ribosomal RNA (253 nucleotides) under uncultured bacterium. RNAcentral's name for it is "partial 16S ribosomal RNA". It matches the Rfam family "Bacterial small subunit ribosomal RNA", at positions 524 to 776 of the family's 1533-position model. The record is from RNAcentral.
UACAGAGGGUGCAAACGUUGCUCGGAAUCAUUGGGCGUAAAGCGCACGUAGGCGGUCUGUUAAGUCGGGUGUGAAAUCCCCAGGCUCAACCUGGGAAGUGCACUCGAAACUGGCGGGCUUGAAUAUGGAAGAGGGUCGCGGAAUUCCCGGUGUAGGGGUGAAAUUCGUAGAUAUCGGGAGGAACACCAGUGGCGAAGGCGGCGACCUGGGCCAAUAUUGACGCUGAGGUGCGAAAGCGUGGGGAGCAAACAGG